Molecule: ribosomal RNA, 292 nt
Filed under: uncultured bacterium
Lineage: Bacteria
Description: partial 16S ribosomal RNA
Rfam family: Bacterial small subunit ribosomal RNA
Source: RNAcentral
GUGCCAGCCGCCGCGGUAAGACGAAGGGGGCUAGCGUUGUUCGGAAUUACUGGGCGUAAAGCGUGUGUAGGUGGUUGUCAUAGUCAGGUGUGAAAGCCUUGAGCUCAACUCAAGAAAUGCACUUGAUACUGGGCAGCUAGAGGACCGGAGAGGAUAGUGGAAUUCCCAGUGUAGUGGUGAAAUACGUAGAGAUUGGGAAGAACACCAGUGGCGAAGGCGGCUAUCUGGACGGUUUCUGACACUAAGACACGAAAGCGUGGGGAGCAAACAGGAUUAGAUACCCCCGUAGUCC